This 112-nucleotide ribosomal RNA is filed under the name Caerostris darwini. The record is from RNAcentral. Lineage: Eukaryota; Metazoa; Arthropoda; Arachnida; Araneae; Araneidae.
AACGGCCGUACCAUGCUGAAUAUACCGGUUCUCGUUAGAUCACCGAAGUUAAGCAUGAUUGGGCGCGGUCAGUACUUGGGUGGGUGACCGCCUGGGAACACUGCGUGCCGUU